AUAUACUUGCUUCAUCAGUACAUAUACUAAAAAAUUGGAACGAUACAGAAAAAAUUAUCAUGGCCCCGGCGCAAGGACGACACGCAAGAUCGUGAAGCAUUCCACACUUUU
Molecule: small nuclear RNA, 111 nt
Filed under: Stegodyphus mimosarum
Lineage: Eukaryota; Metazoa; Arthropoda; Arachnida; Araneae; Eresidae
Source: RNAcentral